AAAUCGGAAAAAAAAUCGUCACUCGUCAGACGCCAUCUUGUUGUACAAUACACAUUCAACGAGAGCUGUGUUUAGGUUAAAGAUUACAAUUUAUUUAUGUUCUUAUUAACAAUACUGAUUGUGAAUUUAUGUGCUUAAGUAUGUCGUUAUUUUGAUAAACAGUGCGUGACGUGCUUAAUAUUGCUAUAAUUCGUUAGGUGCUGUCGCGAAAAUCAUGAGUGUGAUAAUAAGACUGCAGAACCUUCCUUGGUCAGCGAAUGCGCUAGACAUUAGGAAUUAUUUCCGUGGCCUUUCUAUCCCCGAAGGUGGAGUACACAUCGUAGGUGGCGAACUUGGCGAUGCGUUCAUAGCCUUCAGGUAGCUAUACGAAAACUUCAUAGAUUAUAUAUAUUCAUACAUAAAAGUCUGUAAUAUUUUCUUUGAGUAUUUCACUGAAUAUAUUACAGUGAUCUCUGUUAUGUUAAAUUAAUUUUAAGUGUGUAUACUUUUA
Long non-coding RNA from Zerene cesonia (dogface butterfly), 490 nucleotides. RefSeq lists it as uncharacterized. The transcript has 2 exons. Lineage: Eukaryota; Metazoa; Arthropoda; Insecta; Lepidoptera; Pieridae. The record is from RefSeq and is a predicted model, not a curated record.